Molecule: transfer RNA, 76 nt
Filed under: Xanthobacter flavus
Lineage: Bacteria; Pseudomonadati; Pseudomonadota; Alphaproteobacteria; Hyphomicrobiales; Xanthobacteraceae
Also listed under: 2 other names
Description: tRNA-Lys
Rfam family: tRNA
About the family: Transfer RNA (tRNA) molecules are approximately 80 nucleotides in length. Their secondary structure includes four short double-helical elements and three loops (D, anti-codon, and T loops). Further hydrogen bonds mediate the characteristic L-shaped molecular structure. tRNAs have two regions of fundamental functional importance: the anti-codon, which is responsible for specific mRNA codon recognition, and the 3' end, to which the tRNAs corresponding amino acid is attached (by aminoacyl-tRNA synthetases). tRNAs cope with the degeneracy of the genetic code in two manners: having more than one tRNA (with a specific anti-codon) for a particular amino acid; and 'wobble' base-pairing, i.e. permitting non-standard base-pairing at the 3rd anti-codon position.
Source: RNAcentral
GAGCCCGUAGCUCAGCCGGUAGAGCACGUGACUUUUAAUCAUGGGGUCCCGGGUUCGAAUCCCGGCGGGCUCACCA